Non-coding RNA from Pimephales promelas (fathead minnow), 1186 nucleotides. Lineage: Eukaryota; Metazoa; Chordata; Actinopteri; Cypriniformes; Leuciscidae. The record is from RefSeq and is a predicted model, not a curated record.
UCUUGGAUGAUGAAUCACAUUAGAUGAUCAGAACUAACUAUUGUAUAAAAAAUAUCCUUAUAAAUGCGAUUUGUUUAUUUAUUUUCCAUUUUGAUUCUGUUCGUGAACUACAAACCUAAACCAAAUGAUUUCCUGAGUUAGCAUUGAGUGCUUCGCUAAUGACCGUUACGCUGAAACCCUUCCUGCCGCCACACGGACCACUCGUGCUGAUUCCAUGGAUGAAUUACCAUCUCUUCCCUUUUACUCAACGCGUGCAGUUAAAAAAUUAAGGGUUUCCCCGACUGCAGUCACUCAAACCGCUGAGAACGAACACAGACAUCAGAGUUAACGCACACUACAGACAGAGGCUUUUGUGUUUUACUGUGGAGGAUCCAUCAUCAUCACCGUCAGUCAGUGAUCUGAGUUCAGCGCUGGGGGUAGAGAAGGUUAGAUUACAGGAAUCUGACUGUCUGCACCUCUUUUUUGAGAUUAGCUGGUUUAGCUGGUCCUGCUUCCCUAAACUGACACGGAUAUAAAUGCUUUCAUAAGUCUGAUUCAUAGUGAGGAUCCAUGAUGUAUUCCCAGAUGUGUCUUGCGCACUGUUGGUUUUUUCCAUAUUGGUUUUUAUUGGAUUUUCAUAUCCGCGAGGAACCUUUAACAUCCAUGGAAACUUUCCAUUACACAAAAGGUUGUACAGUAUAUAGUUAUUUACUCUAAGAAAAACAUGUUUCUUUUAAGACCUGGUCACUGAAAGGUUCUUUGUGGAACCAAAAUGUUUCUUCCAUGGCAUUGAUGAAAAAAAAAAUUAUAUUUUAUUUUUAAGAGUCUGUAUGAAGUGAGCAUGUUUCUGUGCCUCCAUUUAAAAUCCAUUCACCCCAAAACUUUGACCUCAUAAAGACAUUGUGAAAGUUUUUCAAGCUGUUGAAUCCAAGUCUUCUGGAUAGACAUGACUGCGUUAUAUAUUAUGAACAGAUUGAGCUAGGCUUUUAUCCACAUUGAUUAGCGCACCUACAUUGAGCAGCACAUCAAAUAUGGUAAGCUAAAUCUAAAUCAAACUUGCUUGAGAACAAGCCUCACUGGUACUUUGCAUCAAGCAAGCACGUUUGGGUUGUGGAUUGAUAUGUGCUGAAAAUCCUAAAUUAUCAUAUAAAGUGAUCAUGCCUCUUCACAAGACUUGUAGUGAACCUCAAUUUAUUUGGAUUGCUUC